Molecule: ribosomal RNA, 305 nt
Filed under: uncultured bacterium
Lineage: Bacteria
Description: bacterial SSU rRNA
Rfam family: Bacterial small subunit ribosomal RNA
Source: RNAcentral
CCUACGGGGCGCAGCAGUGGGGAAUAUUGCACAAUGGGGGGAACCCUGAUGCAGCGACGCCGCGUGGGUGAAGAAGUCAUUCGUGACGUAAAGCCCUAUCAGCAGGGAGGAACAAUGACGGUACCUGACUAAGAAGCACCGGCUAAAUACGUGCCAGCAGCCGCGGUAAUACGUAUGGCGCAAGCGUUAUCCGGAUUUACUGGGUGUAAAGGGAGCGCAGGCGGCGCGUUAAGCCUGGUGUGAAAGCCCGCGGCCCAACCGCGGGACUGCAUUGGGAACUGGCGCGCUGGAGUGCCGGAGGGGUA